UCUACGUUUAGAUAUGUUUAGAUACACAAACACUUACCAUUGUGUUACUGUUGCCUGCAGUAUUCAGAACAGUAACAUGCUGUAUAAGUUUGUAGCCAUGAGCAAUAGGCGGGACCAUAGAGCCUAGGCGUGUAGUAGGCUAUACCAUCUAGGUAUGUGUAAGUCCAUGUUUUGAUGAUGAAAUCCCCUAACUACACAUUUCUCAGAACCUGUCGCCAUCAAGUGACACGUGACUGUAAUUGCAAAUUAAAAAUUAAAUACAGCUGUGAUAAAUGCUAUACACAAGGAGUCCCAAAACCUAUGGGGGCGUCAGAGUAGAGAAGCCUUUCCUGAGGAAGGAAGUUUCCCCCAAGACCGUGCUGUCCAAUAUCACAGCCACUGGCUACGUGUGGCUCUUGAGCACUUCAAAUGUGACUGGUGCCACGCAGGAAGGAAAUUUUUAAUUGUAUUUAAUCUCAAUUAAUUGAAAUUUAAGUUAAAAAAGUGGAAGCAGAGUAAUAUAGGUAUAUAUUCAGUUAAACACAACUUUAUCAUUUUGGUAGGACUACGUUUCACUUUGUUGAAAAUUUCCAAGACUAAACGAAAAAGUAAUGUAAAAUAUCACAGUGUUUUUUAUAUUGCUUGCAUGUUGAAAUGAUAGGAUUUCAGAUAUUGGGUUAAAUAAAAUGUAUUAGUUAAAAUUAAUUUCACCUGUUUCUUCUUACUUUUUCAGCGUGGAUACUAGAAAAUCUACAACUCCCUUCGUGACUCGCACUGUUUCUUUGGAUGGAGCUGAGCUAAGAGCAGAAAGGCAUGUGGGAGGAGUUGGCAGGUGGAGGAAGCGAGAAGAGCAUGCAGGGCUGGAUCCAUUUCUUAGGAUAGAAACUCACAUUUAUUUAGCUCCUGUUUUAUGCUUAGGACUUUAGACUUCACCUGCAUCAGACUCAGUCACAGAGAGACGUCACCAGCCUGUUGUGACAGAUGAGGAGACUGAGGCUCAGCCUCGACCGAGGUCCGGUGGCUGCUGUGACCGCUUCCUUGAAGUCCACGCUUUGCAGGGGCCCAGCCUGAACUGGCUUUCUUGAUCUCUGAGCACUGCUUUCACCUCAGCUCUGUCAAAUUUCUCCUUCCUGCCUCUCUCUGGCCUCUUAGGCAGAGCCCACGAUUCUGGAAACAUGCAGAAGGGAACCAUGGAUGAAUCAUAUGAAACUUUUAUGAAGAAGCUGUUCUGGGUCAGGCCCUGUUUAAAGAGCAGUCUAAACGAGGCUGGUUCCAAACAUCAGCAUCGCACCCUCCUUCCCUCCGCACAGCCAGGCUGCCCCCAGGUCUCUGCCGAGGGAUCUGGAAGGGGUGGAGGAGAAGCCUUCUUCUGUUCCCCCUCCCUUCCCUGAAUCGGGUCCCAGGCGUGCAUCCUUUGGCGGGCCCUGUGUGCGUGCAGGUGUGUGUGUGUACGUGCUGUGUGUGUUGUAGGGGGUGCCUGGUCUGAUCCAGCUCCACAGCUCCUGCCCCUCGAGCCUAUGUUGCCAUCUCUUGCUUCUGGGACCAUCUUGAAUGGGCUGUAGACAGGAUGCUCUGAGCUCCGCUACCUUCUGCCCUGGGGGGCUCUCCGAGGACCUUGCCCGCUGCCACUCUGCAUAGGGGAAGUUCAGGCUGCUCCCCUGCUGUCUCUUUUCAGUUCCUUUUUCUCCUGCUCAGCGCAGCAAUUCCACUGUCUGCCUCAGAAGACACCUGUGGGAGGAGGAGCCGGCCUCCUCUCCCUGCAGGCAUUCCCGUCUCUAGGAGUUAUCUUCUCGGGAGGCCUUGCUUGGCUGAAGUGCUGAUGGGGUUGCGAAGGGAGAGAUUCCACAGCAGUCUCCCCCAGGCUGACCAGUCCCCCCACAGUUAUCUGAGUGUACAGAGCACAGGGGAGAUGGGAUGGCUGGGGGCACAGGUGGGAUUUUGCUGCUUUUUAUCAGCCUUGAGAACAUACCUGGCCCCAAAGGUUCAUUCAUUAUUACUUAGUACCUACUCUGUGCCCAGCACGGUGCUGGGUGCUGAUUACAGCCAUGAGUGAAAGACAGCAAUCCUCACAGCCAAUCGUUUUUCACGGGGAAACAGAGAAAAACAACUAAGUGUAUAUGGCAGGGCUGGCCAUCGGGAAGCCAAAUAGAGCAGAGUAAGGGGAUAGAGAGGGACCAAGGGGAGAGGCCAGGGCAAUGGCUGCUGUGUUUAACAUUUAUCUUCCCCUAACUGGGAGCCUAAUAGACAAUUCUGGGCCACAGGAGGAGCCCAGGACGAUGUUGUGUGAGCCUAGUAAAGUGGUGAGGCAGGGGCUGGGUUUCUCAGACUGUGCAUUUUCUUUUAUUUGGUCGUAUACAUCCAGGUCCACUUCACCAACGUUUGCUGGACCACAUCCCAUCCACUCUGUUGUUCCAGAAGCCAUCCCGUGUCUGUUCAGCCUGGAGGAGGCCCAACACCUCAGAGGGAGCUCUGUGGCUCGCAGCUCGCAGUGGAACCCAGCCCCUCCCACUCUGGCUCGAGGGGCAUCAGAUAGUCAGCACCCAAGCCAAAGGCAGCAGACGCCUCCCCGGCUGGAGAGCUCAGGCCUGCAGGUUUGGGGUUUGGAAGGAGGCCUAGGCCAUAGCAACCACUUCUCUCACUGUGGCUCAAACCACUGCUCCAGGCCUGGGGGUGGGUGGGUGGCCAGAAAGCAUGUGGCCUGCCCCAGGCUGUCAGGAGACCAGGCAGUGGCUUCCGGGCUCAUGUAGAGCCUCAUCCUGGGGUUGGUACCUAGCAUGCACCACAGACUCUGUGAGACUUCUGCUGUGACUGCCACACCUGGGCAGGCCCUGGGUGCCCUCCUGCCCGCCCUUCUCCUGGGACUUGCAGGUGAGUCUGAGUCUUGACCACAGAGACCCUCAGAGCAGGCAGGAGACCCUCAGGGAUUACCGAUCCAGCCACCUUGUGUGCAGGCAGGAGACCGAGGCCCAGAGCCCAGAGGACCUGGCCGAGCUGUGUACCUGCCUGCCAGGGGGCUGUUCUGCAUCUUUUCUCCAGUGUGGACCUUGUGAGAGAUGGAGAUGAUGGGAGCUUGGGGUCAGGAUGAGAACAAUGUGACACGAUGGCAAGGGGCCAGGGGUUGAAAGAGGAGCCCUCCUCCCACCCAGCCUCCCUGACAUCAGCUCUGGUCUGGGUGGCCACCAGAUCUAGGUCAGAAAUGGUGUGAGGGUGGGAAAGAUGGAGGGAGAGAGGAACUCCUUGAGUGGUGACCUGAAGUCAGGUAGACCCGCUUAACAUCCCUUCUUAUCCACUGACAGGUCACUGUGUGACCUUGUGCAAGUCACUAAACCUCUCUGAGUCUCUGUUUCUUCUUCUGGCAAGUGGGGACAAUAAUACCAGCCUUCCAUGGCUGGGAUGCAGAUGAAAAUGUGCAUACACACCUGAAAGCAUUUUAUAAACCACAGGGUGCUCCGUGCAGGUGGGGUGAUGAUUAUCAGAGGACAGGAGAGCAUGAGGCAGAAGGUACCAGGACUGUGUGCUAAGAGGACAUGCCCCCAUGGCCUCCAGAGCUGCCCUCCAUCACCCGUCACCCUGUUGUCAAUGCUGGUUUAUUUCCCCCACACACACUCAUACACACACGUGUGACCAGAUGCUCCUCGAGGGCAGGGGUCCCGUGUGACACAUCUCUAUCUCUCCAGCACCCAGCUCCCAUACUGGCUCAGAGCAGGUGCCCAGGAGACACAGUGAAGACUUGGAGACAUGCCUGCUGUCAGACCUCUGCAGGCUGCCCUGACGGGGAGGGAAGAGUCUAGUCCUGCAGUCGUCCUGCGACGACUCCAGGAGACAGACCCUAGGUGAGCAGCAGAAGUACCUUGUCACGGUCCCACCUUUGUGAGGAUGGAGGAAGCUGCCUCAGCUGGAGAGAGCUCCCUGUUGCUGGAGUGGCUUCCCAGCACACUCAGAGCAGAGUCAAGAGUGUCACCCUGCCCCACAAGGCUCUUCCCAAUCUGGACCUCUGCCCACGAUGCUGGCGUCCUACAGACCUCGCAGGUUCACAAGUCCACCGCCUCUUCCUGCUCAAGCUGGGCAGCCCUUCCUCUCUCUGAUGAUCACGGCUCAGAGGACAACCCCUGGAAAUUUGGUGCCUUUCAGCUGCACCACUGGCCCCUUCAGCUCCUGGGAUUUCAAUGUCACCUGGAUGAAGGACAGAGAUGAGCAUCCAGACUCAACUCAGCACCUGGUGACUGACAACAAAAUCAAUUACUCCGUCACUUCCCCAGUAGGGUGUGGGGGACACUAGCCCGACACGAUGUCUCACCUGCGAAGUCACCCACAGGGGACUGGCAGAGCCCCUCCCAAGUGCUCCAAGUUCUUCCCACCCUGAAGAUCACCAGGCCCGCUGGGACACAUGUCCAGGUGCAUCAGAGAGUGAAUCUCACGGGCCACAUGAGCCACUCCUGUCCCCCCUCCCUGCACCUCACCUGGAUGGAGAACAGGCACAAGGUCCAGACCGUGGAGUGUCCCCAGGUCACGAGAAACCCAGAGUAUGCAUCUCACCUGGAUGAAGAAUGGCCAUAUGUUCCAGGGAGCUGAGCAGCUCAUGUCCAAGCAGAGUGGUGAUGGACCUGCACGCUGGAAAGCUUGCAGUUGGUGGAUGGGUCGGUGCAGGGGUCUGAGCGGGUGCUCAUCUGUAAGGUGCAGCAUGAGGCACAGACUCCCAUCCGGGCCAAUCUCCCUGUGCCGUCCUACAUCACAUACGAGCCCAUAAGGAGCCCAG
This is a non-coding RNA of Equus caballus (horse), 4735 nucleotides long. NCBI's taxonomy places the organism in Eukaryota, Metazoa, Chordata, Mammalia, Perissodactyla, Equidae. The record is from RefSeq and is a predicted model, not a curated record.